This 907-nucleotide long non-coding RNA is filed under the name Homo sapiens (human). Its description in RNAcentral is "HSALNT0373306". Lineage: Eukaryota; Metazoa; Chordata; Mammalia; Primates; Hominidae. The record is from RNAcentral.
CCUCAUUUUCUCAUUUGUGGGGAGGAGGAAGUAAAGCCACUCCAGGGGACAGUGUGAUAAACAGAGCAGGCUGUGGAGUCUGGCCGCCUGUUGCACCACUAGGUCAAGUGACCCAAACUCUCUAUGCCUCAUUCUACUCAUCUGCAAGAUACCAACAGGAAGGAAACAGCCUCAAAGGGAACCAAUGCUUUGCCCAAGGACACUUGGCACUAAAGCGGAAAAACUGGCCCCAAACCCAGAUUUUCUCAAGUCCAGCACUUUCUGCACCGUGUGUUGGGCCUCAAUUUCAAAGAUGACAAAGCUUCAGGACCUGUUUCAGUUUUGUCUUACGAAUGGAUUUGGCAAAGAAGGCAGUACAGUUAAUCCUGGCUGCAACUGCUGGAAAAUUUGCUACACCCUCCUCAGUGCUAGCUGUGUAUUGAAUUUGGAACCUCAAACAAAGCUUGAUAGAAGGAAGACAAAAAAGCUUCCGUUUACAUUCCAUUUUGGUUCCCCAUUUGACUUCAAAGAAAGGAAAGAGAAGGAGGAAAUUCACAUUUUUGUCAUUGUUACAGUCACUUUAAUUAUGCAACGUUUUGUUAUGAAACACAGUUUUCUUUUUAUGAAAUAGUGCAGCCCUUUGGAAGCAGUGAAAAUGCUAAGUUCAGAAAAAUUUUACAUGGCACACCAUUGAUCUGCAUGAUGAUAGAAGGAUAAUUAAGAUGCUGUAUCUUAAUUAUCUGGUAGCAGAAAUAUGAGUCUCCUAGUCUCAAGACUUCAAACAGUAAGCAGUGGACUGUACAAGAUCACGAGGCAGUCAUCCCCUCUCUGCUCUGUUCCCUCUCCUCUACAAUCCUUGGAGAAAGCUGUAUAGGUUGGGUUGUCCUCAAAACCUUAGACAUAUGUGAAAUACACAGGAUUUUGGAAA